CCCCUCAGACCCGCCGGGGCUGCUCCGCCCGCCCGUCCCGCCGGGCAGCCCUCGAGGCUCCAUCCCCCGGAACCAUCGGGCCUCGUCCCUUUGCCCUUCCACCCACACACCCCAUCCCCAUUUAUUUAUUCCCGUUCCAUUUGUUCCCACGGGGAGCCCCUCCAGCGCCGUGCUGGGUCCCGCCAAGUGGCCAGCGCUGAGGGGCCGCUCCAGUUCAGCGCCGAUGUGUGACCGGCCCCGAGGGCCCAGCGGUGCCAGGCUCGGUGAGGGCAGGCAGAGACCCCCGAGGCACCCCCGGAAAGGCACCUUGGCGCUGGCACUGGCAGUGAUUCACUGCCUGUUUUCCACUGAUUUAUUGCUUGGGAAAGAACUGACAGCUCUGCUCGUCAUCUGCUCACCACCCAAGCUAUGAAGUCCCACUCCAGCAUGUACUGAGCAAGAGCAAUGCCUUGAAAAAUUCACAAUAGCAAAGACAGAGCCUAAGGAAUGGGAUUUACCAACGCCCGGGACGCGGAGCGCCGGGAGGCGGCGGGGGGAGAGCCCGCCGCGCCACCGCCCAGCGCUGAGGAGAACGCGGCGCCGAAGGGAAGGAGAAGCCAUGAUGGCGGCUGCCCUCACACAACACGGAGCGCGACCGGGAGCGUCGUGCCCGCCGCCGGCCGCCCCUCCCGCCGCCCGGGACACGGCGCUGCCGCAGCCUUUCACAUAAUAAACCCACCAGAAUUCGGCGGGGAGGCCAUUUUCGUGGGCUGGGUGGCGGCACUAAAGCACAACUGCUGUGAAUAUCAACUGCGUCACGGCUCUCCAUCUGUAACACUCAGGCUGCAAAGGGUCCCUCACUUGGAAGGAAACUCCCUCAUUUUGGAUAUACUUCCAGACCUCCUUUUUCCCCCCUCUCUCCAAGUCACUGCCUCUCGGUAUGAAGGAUUUUACAGUGCUUUCUAGGGAGACAUCCGCCAUUAAGACUCACCGUCGUGAAAAACACCCCCCCAUUUUGUUGCCUGUUUUUUGUCGAGCUUCUGUAAUUAGACGGAUAAAACAUGUAAGGGAUCCCUACCACCACAACCGUCUUCUCGCCUUUUUUAAACAUCAACCUCACUAACAUCUUACUGUUCACAGGCAGAUUUUUUUUUUGUGCUUUUAAUUUAACAGCCACGUAAUGCCUGCAAUGGAUUCACAGCGUCUCUCCGCACCAAAAAAAAAAAAACCAAACCCACCCAGGGUUGAGGACGACCAAGAGCUUUGUGCAGAAAGAGAAAUCAAAUCCCUCCCUGAAAAGAGACGUUUCAGAGGCACUGUUAGAUGUUUCUGAGGAGAAGGAGAUCGCCACCGCUUUCAGACGACCAUUGGGAUCUUUCCACCCAGGACAAUACCAUUAGCUACAGGCCUGGGCUAUUUGUUCCUCUGCAAGGGCAAAAGGGUUUACUUACCCGCACACCAUAGUUGAAUGCAGCUCUGAAGGUGAAGUUGUUACUCUUUUUUAAAAUAAUGGCUAUAAAUAUAUAUGUGAUCUGUAUCACCA
Vidua macroura (Pin-tailed whydah) is the source of this 1522-nucleotide long non-coding RNA. RefSeq lists it as uncharacterized. Lineage: Eukaryota; Metazoa; Chordata; Aves; Passeriformes; Viduidae. The transcript has 3 exons. The record is from RefSeq and is a predicted model, not a curated record.